RNAcentral lists this ribosomal RNA (907 nucleotides) under Salmonella enterica subsp. enterica serovar Weltevreden. Its description in RNAcentral is "partial 23S ribosomal RNA". It matches the Rfam family "Bacterial large subunit ribosomal RNA", at positions 2036 to 2925 of the family's 2925-position model. The record is from RNAcentral. Lineage: Bacteria; Pseudomonadati; Pseudomonadota; Gammaproteobacteria; Enterobacterales; Enterobacteriaceae.
GUGAAAUUGAACUCGCUGUGAAGAUGCAGUGUACCCGCGGCAAGACGGAAAGACCCCGUGAACCUUUACUAUAGCUUGACACUGAACAUUGAGCCUUGAUGUGUAGGAUAGGUGGGAGGCUUUGAAGCGUGGACGCCAGUCUGCGUGGAGCCGACCUUGAAAUACCACCCUUUAAUGUUUGAUGUUCUAACGUGGACCCGUUACCCGGGUUGCGGACAGUGUCUGGUGGGUAGUUUGACUGGGGCGGUCUCCUCCUAAAGAGUAACGGAGGAGCACGAAGGUUGGCUAAUCCUGGUCGGACAUCAGGAGGUUAGUGCAAUGGCAUAAGCCAGCUUGACUGCGAGCGUGACGGCGCGAGCAGGUGCGAAAGCAGGUCAUAGUGAUCCGGUGGUUCUGAAUGGAAGGGCCAUCGCUCAACGGAUAAAAGGUACUCCGGGGAUAACAGGCUGAUACCGCCCAAGAGUUCAUAUCGACGGCGGUGUUUGGCACCUCGAUGUCGGCUCAUCACAUCCUGGGGCUGAAGUAGGUCCCAAGGGUAUGGCUGUUCGCCAUUUAAAGUGGUACGCGAGCUGGGUUUAGAACGUCGUGAGACAGUUCGGUCCCUAUCUGCCGUGGGCGCUGGAGAACUGAGGGGGGCUGCUCCUAGUACGAGAGGACCGGAGUGGACGCAUCACUGGUGUUCGGGUUGUCAUGCCAAUGGCACUGCCCGGUAGCUAAAUGCGGAAGAGAUAAGUGCUGAAAGCAUCUAAGCACGAAACUUGCCCCGAGAUGAGUUCUCCCUGAGACUUAGAGUCUCCUGAAGGAACGUUGAAGACGACGACGUUGAUAGGCCGGGUGUGUAAGCGCAGCGAUGCGUUGAGCUAACCGGUACUAAUGAACCGUGAGGCUUAACCUUACAACGCCGAAG